UGCCGCGUGUGUGAAGAAGGCCUUUUGGUUGUAAAGCACUUUAAGCAGUGAAGAAGACCAUAUGGUUAAUACCCAUAUGCGAUGACAUUAGCUGCAGAAUAAGCACCGGCUAACUCUGUGCCAGCAGCCGCGGUAAUACAGAGGGUGCAAGCGUUAAUCGGAAUUACUGGGCGUAAAGCGAGCGUAGGUGGCUUGAUAAGUCAGAUGUGAAAUCCCCGGGCUUAACCUGGGAACUGCAUCUGAUACUGUUAAGCUAGAGUAGGUGAGAGGGAAGUAGAAUUCCAGGUGUAGCGGUGAAAUGCGUAGAGAUCUGGAGGAAUACCGAUGGCGAAGGCAGCUUCCUGGCAUCAUACUGACACUGAGGCUCGAAAGCGUGGGUAGCAAACAGGAUUAGAUACCCUGGUAGUCCACGCCGUAAACGAUGUCUACUAGUCGUUGGGGAACUUGAUUCCUUAGUGACGCAGCUAACGCAAUAAGUAGACCGCCUGGGGAG
This 493-nucleotide ribosomal RNA is filed under the name Psychrobacter celer. Its description in RNAcentral is "bacterial SSU rRNA". It matches the Rfam family "Bacterial small subunit ribosomal RNA", at positions 395 to 880 of the family's 1533-position model. The record is from RNAcentral. RNAcentral also lists the same sequence under 1 other name. Lineage: Bacteria; Pseudomonadati; Pseudomonadota; Gammaproteobacteria; Moraxellales; Moraxellaceae.